UACGUAGGGGGCUAGCGUUGUCCGGAAUCAUUGGGCGUAAAGCGCGUGUAGGCGGCCCGGUAAGUCCGCUGUGAAAGUCGGGGGCUCAACCCUCGGAUGCCGGUGGAUACUGUCGGGCUCGAGUACGGAAGAGGCGAGUUGAAUUCCUGGUGUAGCGGUGAAAUGCGCAGAUAUCAGGAGGAACCCCAAUUGCGAAGGCAGCUCGCUGGGACGUCACUGACGCUGAGACGCGAAAGCGUGGGGAGCAAACAGG
RNAcentral lists this ribosomal RNA (253 nucleotides) under uncultured bacterium. RNAcentral's name for it is "partial 16S ribosomal RNA". It matches the Rfam family "Bacterial small subunit ribosomal RNA", at positions 524 to 776 of the family's 1533-position model. The record is from RNAcentral.